AUUGAACGCUGGCGGCAUGCCUUACACAUGCAAGUCGAACGGUAACAGGUCUUCGGAUGCUGACGAGUGGCGAACGGGUGAGUAAUACAUCGGAACGUGCCUAGUAGUGGGGGAUAACUACUCGAAAGAGUGGCUAAUACCGCAUGAGAUCUACGGAUGAAAGCAGGGGAUCGCAAGACCUUGUGCUACUAGAGCGGCCGAUGGCAGAUUAGGUAGUUGGUGGGAUAAAAGCUUACCAAGCCGACGAUCUGUAGCUGGUCUGAGAGGACGAUCAGCCACACGGGGACUGAGAACAGGCCCAGACUCCUACGGGAGGCAGCAGUGGGGAAUUUUGGACAAUGGGCGCAAGCCUGAUCCAGCAAUGCCGCGUGCAGGAUGAAGGCCUUCGGGUUGUAAACUGCUUUUGUACGGAACGAAAAGCCCUGGGUUAAUACCCUGGGGUCAUGACGGUACCGUAAGAAUAAGCACCGGCUAACUACGUGCCAGCAGCCGCCGUAA
Molecule: ribosomal RNA, 498 nt
Filed under: uncultured bacterium
Lineage: Bacteria
Description: partial 16S ribosomal RNA
Rfam family: Bacterial small subunit ribosomal RNA
Source: RNAcentral